AGGGCACCACAAGGCGUGGAGCCUGCGGCUUAAUUUGACUCAACACGGGGAAACUCACCAGGUCCAGACAAAAUAAGGAUUGACAGAUUGAGAGCUCUUUCUUGAUUUUUUGGAUGGUGGUGCAUGGCCGUUCUUAGUUGGUGGAGUGAUUUGUCUGCUUAAUUGCGAUAACGAACGAGACCUCGGCCCUUAAAUAGCCCGGCCCGCGUUUGCGGGCCGCUGGCUUCUUAGGGGGACUAUCGGCUCAAGCCGAUGGAAGUGCGCGGCA
Molecule: ribosomal RNA, 268 nt
Filed under: uncultured eukaryote
Lineage: Eukaryota
Description: partial small subunit ribosomal RNA
Rfam family: Eukaryotic small subunit ribosomal RNA
Source: RNAcentral